GGCCUUGUAGCUCAGCUGGUAUAGCGUACGCCGUACAAAAGCGUAGGCAGCGUCCAUGAGUGGGUUCGAAUCUCACCAAGACUA
This 84-nucleotide transfer RNA is filed under the name Echinostoma caproni. It matches the Rfam family "tRNA". From Rfam's summary of the family: Transfer RNA (tRNA) molecules are approximately 80 nucleotides in length. Lineage: Eukaryota; Metazoa; Platyhelminthes; Trematoda; Plagiorchiida; Echinostomatidae. The record is from Rfam by way of RNAcentral.